Molecule: transfer RNA, 76 nt
Filed under: Serratia marcescens
Lineage: Bacteria; Pseudomonadati; Pseudomonadota; Gammaproteobacteria; Enterobacterales; Yersiniaceae
Description: tRNA-Gly
Rfam family: tRNA
About the family: Transfer RNA (tRNA) molecules are approximately 80 nucleotides in length.
Source: RNAcentral
GCUGAUAUAGCUCAGUUGGUAGAGCGCAACCUUGCCAAGGUUGAGGUCGCGAGUUCGAGCCUCGUUUCCCGCUCCA